RNAcentral lists this ribosomal RNA (1521 nucleotides) under Klebsiella pneumoniae. RNAcentral describes it as "partial 23S ribosomal RNA". It matches the Rfam family "Bacterial large subunit ribosomal RNA", at positions 896 to 2399 of the family's 2925-position model. The record is from RNAcentral. Lineage: Bacteria; Pseudomonadati; Pseudomonadota; Gammaproteobacteria; Enterobacterales; Enterobacteriaceae.
UCGGGGGUAGAGCACUGUUUCGGCUAGGGGGUCAUCCCGACUUACCAACCCGAUGCAAACUACGAAUACCGAAGAAUGUUAUCACGGGAGACACACGGCGGGUGCUAACGUCCGUCGUGAAGAGGGAAACAACCCAGACCGCCAGCUAAGGUCCCAAAGUCAUGGUUAAGUGGGAAACGAUGUGGGAAGGCACAGACAGCCAGGAUGUUGGCUUAGAAGCAGCCAUCAUUUAAAGAAAGCGUAAUAGCUCACUGGUCGAGUCGGCCUGCGCGGAAGAUGUAACGGGGCUAAACCAUGCACCGAAGCUGCGGCAGCGACACUAUGUGUUGUUGGGUAGGGGAGCGUUCUGUAAGCCUGCGAAGGUGACCUGUGAGGGUUGCUGGAGGUAUCAGAAGUGCGAAUGCUGACAUAAGUAACGAUAAAGCGGGUGAAAAGCCCGCUCGCCGGAAGACCAAGGGUUCCUGUCCAACGUUAAUCGGGGCAGGGUGAGUCGACCCCUAAGGCGAGGCCGAAAGGCGUAGUCGAUGGGAAACAGGUUAAUAUUCCUGUACUUGGUGUUACUGCGAAGGGGGGACGGAGAAGGCUAUGUUAGCCGGGCGACGGUUGUCCCGGUUUAAGCAUGUAGGCUGGUUAUCCAGGCAAAUCCGGAUAAUCAAGGCUGAGGUGUGAUGACGAGGCACUACGGUGCUGAAGUAACAAAUGCCCUGCUUCCAGGAAAAGCCUCUAAGCAUCAGGUAACAUCAAAUCGUACCCCAAACCGACACAGGUGGUCAGGUAGAGAAUACCAAGGCGCUUGAGAGAACUCGGGUGAAGGAACUAGGCAAAAUGGUGCCGUAACUUCGGGAGAAGGCACGCUGGUGUGUAGGUGAAGUCCCUGCGGAUGGAGCUGAGACCAGUCGAAGAUACCAGCUGGCUGCAACUGUUUAUUAAAAACACAGCACUGUGCAAACACGAAAGUGGACGUAUACGGUGUGACGCCUGCCCGGUGCCGGAAGGUUAAUUGAUGGGGUUAUCCGUAAGGAGAAGCUCUUGAUCGAAGCCCCGGUAAACGGCGGCCGUAACUAUAACGGUCCUAAGGUAGCGAAAUUCCUUGUCGGGUAAGUUCCGACCUGCACGAAUGGCGUAAUGAUGGCCAGGCUGUCUCCACCCGAGACUCAGUGAAAUUGAACUCGCUGUGAAGAUGCAGUGUACCCGCGGCAAGACGGAAAGACCCCGUGAACCUUUACUAUAGCUUGACACUGAACAUUGAGCCUUGAUGUGUAGGAUAGGUGGGAGGCUUUGAAGCGUGGACGCCAGUCUGCGUGGAGCCAACCUUGAAAUACCACCCUUUAAUGUUUGAUGUUCUAACGUUGGCCCCUGACCGGGGUUGCGGACAGUGUCUGGUGGGUAGUUUGACUGGGGCGGUCUCCUCCCAAAGCGUAACGGAGGAGCACGAAGGUUAGCUAAUCCUGGUCGGACAUCAGGAGGUUAGUGCAAUGGCAUAAGCUAGCUUGACUGCGAGCGUGACGGCGCGAGCAGGUG